ACAUGAUAGCAACUUUAAGAUAGGAUAUUUGUGAUAUGUUUGAAAGGUGUCACAUUUGAUUGUUUCAUUUGAAUAAAUAAUAAAACUGACCAACUUUUGUACUACUAUCCCUAAGUAUAGAGGCAGCACAUUGGCACAGUUUUGGAAUCAGAUUAUAUGCAAUUUAACCUUUGAUAGGCUAUAUAUACGGUAGCCCAGUAGUGCACAACACAACGAAAUCUCCACAACACAACAAAAACAAACCACAACACAACAAAAUUAGCACAAUGCAAUGGAAACAAGGCACAACACAAUGAAAUUAGCACAACACAACGAAAACCAAGGCACAACACAAAAACGAAAUUACCACAACACAAUUUAAACAAGCCGCAAGACAACAAAAUUACAGAAACAAGGUGAAACACAGCGAAAUUAGCACAACGCAACGGAAACAAGCCACAACACAACCAAAUUAGCACAACACAAUGGAAACAAGCUGCAACACAAAACAAUUAGCUGAAACACUACCAAAUUAGCACAACACAACAAAAACUAGUUGUAUGCAAUAUUGUUGUGUUAUGGAGAUUUUGUUGUGUGGUGCACUACUGGUCCACCGUAUAUAUACAAUGCUACUAAAUGAUUACCAUAUUUAUAUAUAAAGCAAGACUAUCAUGGCAAAAUACUUCAAAGCCAAGUUGGAACAUUUUGGGGGUGUUUUUAUCAGUGUUAACAGUUAAAGGACAACGGUGUUCCUCCUCUCAGGUGGUGAUCUGGUGCUGUUGUCCGAAACGAAGAGUUUUCAUGAAUGAAGCUGAAGAGAUGAAUCCUCCCAUGUACUUCAAUCCAGACAUCCCUAUGUAUUCAACACAAAACACGUUUGAUACAUCCAAUGGCAAACAAGCGGAUGUCAGAGAAAAACCUCCGAAAAACAGGACAGGAAUGUACGUGGUGAACCAAUGAAGGACACAGGUAUAGUCAAAACACAUAUGCAGCGGUGACACACUUCUGUAAAUAACCCAGCUCAAACUCACACUUUAACUCAAUCAUUCAGGUUUUCUGACCCCCAACAUUGUCCCUCCUUCCGUGUGUGCAGAACAAGGCCUGAGGAAACCCUUGUUGGAUGUAAAACAUACAUACAGUCAUAUAUCUGGCACUGUAAUGCAGGAUGUUGAACGGACAGGGAAAUGAUUUUACAUGCCAUUACAUUGAUGUAGAAUUUAUUUUCCUACUAUAUACCUUUGCACAAAGUAAUUUGUUACUUUUAAAAAUGGACUGAAUUAUGACAGUAAUGUGAUGUAUUAACAGUGAUUUAGUGAAAUUAAAAAGUUCUUUUUUUGGAGAAAAUAAUCUUAAUUUUAAUGGAAAAUACUGUUUCAUGGGGAACUAACCCUAAGAAUUUUUAGUGACAAUGCUGGGUUCUACCAUAGAUCAAAAUGAAGAGUUUUAGUUAGUUUGUGCAUUGGGUGACAAAUUUAGUAUGGAAUAAACUGAACAGAACUAGACUACA
Long non-coding RNA from Cyprinus carpio (common carp), 1486 nucleotides. The record is from Ensembl. Lineage: Eukaryota; Metazoa; Chordata; Actinopteri; Cypriniformes; Cyprinidae.